UAGGGAAUCUUCCGCAAUGGACGAAAGUCUGACGGAGCAACGCCGCGUGAGCGAAGAAGGUCUUCGGAUCGUAAAGCUCUGUUGUUAGGGAAGAACAAGUACCGUUCGAAUAGGGCGGUACCGUGACGGUACCUAACCAGAAAGCCACGGCUAACUACGUGCCAGCAGCCGCGGUAAUACGUAGGUGGCAAGCGUUGUCCGGAAUUAUUGGGCGUAAAGCGCGCGCAGGCGGCUUCUUAAGUCUGAUGUGAAAGCCCGCAGCUCAACUGCGGAGGGUCAUUGGAAACUGGGAAGCUUGAGUGCAGAAGAGGAGAGUGGAAUUCCACGUGUAGCGGUGAAAUGCGUAGAGAUGUGGAGGAACACCAGUGGCGAAGGCGGCUCUCUGGUCUGUAACUGACGCUGAGGCGCGAAAGCGUGGGGAGCAAACAGGAUUAGAUACC
This 440-nucleotide ribosomal RNA is filed under the name uncultured bacterium. RNAcentral's name for it is "bacterial SSU rRNA". It matches the Rfam family "Bacterial small subunit ribosomal RNA", at positions 355 to 786 of the family's 1533-position model. The record is from RNAcentral.